RNAcentral lists this ribosomal RNA (400 nucleotides) under uncultured bacterium. Its description in RNAcentral is "bacterial SSU rRNA". It matches the Rfam family "Bacterial small subunit ribosomal RNA", at positions 355 to 771 of the family's 1533-position model. The record is from RNAcentral.
UCGAGAAUAUUCCCCAAUGGACGAAAGUCUGAGGGAGCGACGCCGCGUGCAGGAUGAAGGCCUUCGGGUUGUAAACUGCUUUUCUCUGGGAAGAACACUGACCGUACCAGAGGAAUAAGAGGUUGCUAACUCUGUGCCAGCAGCAGCGGUAAUACAGAGACCUCGAGCGUUAUCCGGAUUUACUGGGCGUAAAGGGUCCGCAGGUGGUUUUGUAAGUCUUCGGUUAAAUCCUUGAGCUCAACUCGAGGACCGCCGAGGAAACUAUAAGACUAGAGACUGGGAGAGGCAAGCGGAAUUGCCGGUGUAGUAGUAAAAUGCGUUAAUAUCGGCAAGAACACCAAAUGCGAAGGCAGCUUGCUAGAACAGUUCUGACACUCAGGGACGAAAGCGUGGGUAGCGA